ACGCUGGCGGCACGCCUAACACAUGCAAGUCGAACGAAGUAGCAAUACUUAGUGGCAGACGGGUGAGUAACAUGUAGGUAUCUGCCCUUUGGCCUGGAAUAACACGAGGAAACUUGUGCUAAUACCGGAUAAGUCUUUACGGAGAAAGCUUUAUGCACCAUUGGAUGAGCCUGCACUUGAUUAGUUUGUUGGUGGGGUAAUGGCCUACCAAGACUGUGAUCAAUAGCUGAUUUGAGAGGAUGAUCAGCCACAUUGGGACUGAGACACGGCCCAAACUCCUACGGGAGGCAGCAGUGGGGAAUCUUGCACAAUGGAGGAAACUCUGAUGCAGCGAUGCCGCGUGAGUGAAGAAGGCCCUUGGGUUGUAAAGCUCUUUCGUCGGGGAAGAAAAUGACUGUACCCGAAUAAGAAGGUCCGGCUAACUUCGUGCCAGCAGCCGCGGUAAUACGAAGGGACCUAGCGUAGUUCGGAAUUACUGGGCUUAAAGAGUUCGUAGGUUGUUGAAAAAGUUGGUGGUGAAAUCCCAGAGCUUAACUCUGGAACUGCCAUCAAAACUUUUCAGCUAGAGUAUGAUAGAGGAAAGCAGAAUUUCUAGUGUAGAGGUGAAAUUCGUAGAUAUUAGAAAGAAUACCAAUUGCGAAGGCAGCUUUCUGGAUCAUUACUGACACUGAGGAACGAAAGCAUGGGUAGCGAAGAGGAUUAGAUACCCUCGUAGUCCAUGCCGUAAACGAUGUGUGUUAGACGUUGGAAAUUUAUUUUCAGUGUCGCAGCGAAAGCAAUAAACACACCGCCUGGGGAGUACGACC
RNAcentral lists this ribosomal RNA (806 nucleotides) under uncultured Pelagibacteraceae bacterium. RNAcentral describes it as "bacterial SSU rRNA". It matches the Rfam family "Bacterial small subunit ribosomal RNA", at positions 33 to 887 of the family's 1533-position model. Lineage: Bacteria; Pseudomonadati; Pseudomonadota; Alphaproteobacteria; Candidatus Pelagibacterales; Candidatus Pelagibacteraceae. The record is from RNAcentral.